This 228-nucleotide unclassified non-coding RNA is filed under the name Funneliformis mosseae. RNAcentral's name for it is "partial contains 5.8S ribosomal RNA and internal transcribed spacer 2". The stretch from base 1 to 71 matches the Rfam family "5.8S ribosomal RNA", at positions 84 to 154 of the family's 154-position model. Lineage: Eukaryota; Fungi; Glomeromycota; Glomeromycetes; Glomerales; Glomeraceae. The record is from RNAcentral.
GUGAAUCAUCGAAUCUUUGAACGCAAAUUGCACUCCCUGGUAUUCCGGGGAGUAUGCCUGUUUGAGGGUCGGUAGAAGAAAAAUCGAAGCAUCGCUCUUUUUUUGGGGGUGAUCGCGUCGGAAUUGAUCCGCUUUCCAUAUGUUAAUUCAUGUCAAAGUGGCCUAAAAUUUUUCCAUCCGGUACGAAUAAAGCGUACUUAAGAUCAAUUUUGAUUAAGCACGCGCGAU